RNAcentral lists this ribosomal RNA (418 nucleotides) under Bacillota bacterium. RNAcentral's name for it is "Firmicutes bacterium partial 16S ribosomal RNA". It matches the Rfam family "Bacterial small subunit ribosomal RNA", at positions 355 to 776 of the family's 1533-position model. The record is from RNAcentral. Lineage: Bacteria; Bacillati; Bacillota.
UGGGGAAUAUUGCGCAAUGGGCGAAAGCCUGACGCAGCGACGCCGCGUGUGGGAUGACGGCCUUCGGGUUGUAAACCACUGUCGGGAGGGACGAAUGCCCCGCAAGGGGAGUGACGGUACCUCCAAAGGAAGCACCGGCUAACUCCGUGCCAGCAGCCGCGGUAAUACGGAGGGUGCGAGCGUUGUCCGGAAUCACUGGGCGUAAAGGGCGCGUAGGCGGCCCGAUAAGUAGGGGGUGAAAUCCUGCGGCUUAACCGCAGGGCUGCCUUCUAAACUGUCGGGCUCGAGCACAGUAGAGGCAGGUGGAAUUCCCGGUGUAGCGGUGGAAUGCGUAGAGAUCGGGAAGAACAUCAGUGGCGAAGGCGGCCUGCUGGGCUGUUGCUGACGCUGAGGCGCGACAGCGUGGGGAGCAAACAGG